Molecule: ribosomal RNA, 1492 nt
Filed under: Lactiplantibacillus plantarum
Lineage: Bacteria; Bacillati; Bacillota; Bacilli; Lactobacillales; Lactobacillaceae
Description: bacterial SSU rRNA
Rfam family: Bacterial small subunit ribosomal RNA
Source: RNAcentral
GACGAACGCUGGCGGCGUGCCUAAUACAUGCAAGUCGAACGAACUCUGGCAUUGAUUGGUGCUUGCAUCAUGAUUUACAUUUGAGUGAGUGGCGAACUGGUGAGUAACACGUGGGAAACCUGCCCAGAAGCGGGGGAUAACACCUGGAAACAGAUGCUAAUACCGCAUAACAACUUGGACCGCAUGGUCCGAGUUUGAAAGAUGGCUUCGGCUAUCACUUUUGGAUGGUCCCGCGGCGUAUUAGCUAGAUGGUGGGGUAACGGCUCACCAUGGCAAUGAUACGUAGCCGACCUGAGAGGGUAAUCGGCCACAUUGGGACUGAGACACGGCCCAAACUCCUACGGGAGGCAGCAGUAGGGAAUCUUCCACAAUGGACGAAAGUCUGAUGGAGCAACGCCGCGUGAGUGAAGAAGGGUUUCGGCUCGUAAAACUCUGUUGUUAAAGAAGAACAUAUCUGAGAGUAACUGUUCAGGUAUUGACGGUAUUUAACCAGAAAGCCACGGCUAACUACGUGCCAGCAGCCGCGGUAAUACGUAGGUGGCAAGCGUUGUCCGGAUUUAUUGGGCGUAAAGCGAGCGCAGGCGGUUUUUUAAGUCUGAUGUGAAAGCCUUCGGCUCAACCGAAGAAGUGCAUCGGAAACUGGGAAACUUGAGUGCAGAAGAGGACAGUGGAACUCCAUGUGUAGCGGUGAAAUGCGUAGAUAUAUGGAAGAACACCAGUGGCGAAGGCGGCUGUCUGGUCUGUAACUGACGCUGAGGCUCGAAAGUAUGGGUAGCAAACAGGAUUAGAUACCCUGGUAGUCCAUACCGUAAACGAUGAAUGCUAAGUGUUGGAGGGUUUCCGCCCUUCAGUGCUGCAGCUAACGCAUUAAGCAUUCCGCCUGGGGAGUACGGCCGCAAGGCUGAAACUCAAAGGAAUUGACGGGGGCCCGCACAAGCGGUGGAGCAUGUGGUUUAAUUCGAAGCUACGCGAAGAACCUUACCAGGUCUUGACAUACUAUGCAAAUCUAAGAGAUUAGACGUUCCCUUCGGGGACAUGGAUACAGGUGGUGCAUGGUUGUCGUCAGCUCGUGUCGUGAGAUGUUGGGUUAAGUCCCGCAACGAGCGCAACCCUUAUUAUCAGUUGCCAGCAUUAAGUUGGGCACUCUGGUGAGACUGCCGGUGACAAACCGGAGGAAGGUGGGGAUGACGUCAAAUCAUCAUGCCCCUUAUGACCUGGGCUACACACGUGCUACAAUGGAUGGUACAACGAGUUGCGAACUCGCGAGAGUAAGCUAAUCUCUUAAAGCCAUUCUCAGUUCGGAUUGUAGGCUGCAACUCGCCUACAUGAAGUCGGAAUCGCUAGUAAUCGCGGAUCAGCAUGCCGCGGUGAAUACGUUCCCGGGCCUUGUACACACCGCCCGUCACACCAUGAGAGUUUGUAACACCCAAAGUCGGUGGGGUAACCUUUUAGGAACCAGCCGCCUAAGGUGGGACAGAUGAUUAGGGUGAAG